Molecule: ribosomal RNA, 527 nt
Filed under: uncultured bacterium
Lineage: Bacteria
Description: bacterial SSU rRNA
Rfam family: Bacterial small subunit ribosomal RNA
Source: RNAcentral
UGAGGAUUAUUGGCCAAUGGGGCCAACCCUGAUCAAGGAAUGUGGCUUGAAUGAUGAAGCCUUUAGGUUGGUAAAGCUCUUUCUGUAUGGAAGAAAAUGACGGUACCUCCAGAAGAAGCUUCGGCUAACUACGUGCCAGCAGCCGCGGUAAUACGUGGGGAGCUAGCGUUUUUCGGAAUUACUGGGCGUAAAGGGCGCGUAGGCGGAUAAUCAAGUUGAAAGUGAAAGCUCCAGGCUUAACUUGGGGACGUCUUUCAAAACUCAUUAUCUAGAGUACGAUAGAGGAUGGUAGAAUUCCUAGUGUAGAGGUGAAAUUCUUAGAUAUUAGGAGGAACACCGGUGGCGAAGGCGGCCAUCUGGGUCGUUUCUGACGCUGAGGCGCGAAAGCGUGGGGAGCGAACGGGAUUAGAAACCCCGGUAGUCCACGCCGUAAACGAUGUACACUAGAUGUGUGUGUGGUGAAAGCCAUGUGCGUGUCGAAGCUAACGCGAUAAGUGUACCGCCUGGGGAGUACGGUCACAAGGCUA